This is a long non-coding RNA of Bufo bufo (common toad), 618 nucleotides long. RefSeq lists it as uncharacterized. The record is from RefSeq and is a predicted model, not a curated record. Lineage: Eukaryota; Metazoa; Chordata; Amphibia; Anura; Bufonidae. The transcript has 3 exons.
GUAGAUGUUGACAGCGGGGGACCUGAAUGAGGCAGCAGUAGCCAGACUAUUGGGAAUUAGGACCCAGCAGCGGGAAGCAAUAUAUCUGCAGGAGUAAUCACCACAGGAAGGAGCCAAAGGGGGCCCCUAUUUGGUAUUGGUGGACAUCACUACAUACCAGCCUGGACAGGAGAAAAUGGUGCUUGUUUGACCCCAAUCUACGAUGCAUGAUCUUUGUUGUCUACAUGCAGAACCUCAGGUUGUGCACCCCUGCUCUAUGUUUUAUUUCAGAACUUGGAUGCCCACCAAAGGAGCCGCUGGUGCCCUGGUAGGACGGUUGGACUCUGGUCAUCAUCUAGAGAUUUCUAAUGUGUAUAAUAUUAUAGCAAUUAUCACAACUUUUCUACAUCACCCCAACUGAGAAAUUGGGUCAAAAAACGAUAUGUACUCAGCAGUCAAAGUAAUUAUGAUAAUGAGUUUAUUCUUCAUUGAUUGAUUUCCACAAUGCUCCACCACAAGGAUCAUUUUGAGGAACUUGAGUGUUUUGGUCAAUCAUUUUGGCAUUUAAGUUCCAGCUCUUUAACCUUCACCAAUCAUAUCUCCUAAUGUCUCCAUGUUAUUUCAGAAAAUAAAGGAGGA